Molecule: ribosomal RNA, 253 nt
Filed under: uncultured bacterium
Lineage: Bacteria
Description: partial 16S ribosomal RNA
Rfam family: Bacterial small subunit ribosomal RNA
Source: RNAcentral
GACGUAGGGUGCGAGCGUUGUCCGGAUUUAUUGGGCGUAAAGCGCUCGUAGGCGGCUCGUCGCGUCAGCUGUGAAAACCCGCGGCUUAACCGUGGGCUUGCAGCUGAUACGGGCGGGCUAGAGUUCGGUAGGGGAGACUGGAAUUCCUGGUGUAGCGGUGAAAUGCGCAGAUAUCAGGAGGAACACCGGUGGCGAAGGCGGGUCUCUGGGCCGAUACUGACGCUGAGGAGCGAAAGCGUGGGGAGCGAACAGG